RNAcentral lists this ribosomal RNA (551 nucleotides) under uncultured bacterium. RNAcentral's name for it is "bacterial SSU rRNA". It matches the Rfam family "Bacterial small subunit ribosomal RNA", at positions 355 to 896 of the family's 1533-position model. The record is from RNAcentral.
UGAGGAAUAUUGCGCAAUGGGCGAAAGCCUGACGCAGCGACGCCGCGUGGAGGAUGACGGUUUUAGGAUUGUAAACUCCUGUUAAGUGGGAAGAAAGUCCUAUCUCUAAUAUAGAUAGGAUAUGACGGUACCACUAGAGAAAGCACCGGCUAACUUCGUGCCAGCAGCCGCGGUAAUACGAGGGGUGCAAACGUUAUUCGGAUUUAUUGGGUGUAAAGGGUGUGUAGACGGGUUAUUAAGUUCGUUGUUAAAUCUUCCGGCCUAACCGGAAGCUCGCGAUGGAAACUGGUAAUCUUGAGGAUGGAAGAGAGAAGUGGAAUUCUCGGAGUAGCGGUAAAAUGCGUAGAUCUCGAGAGGAACACCGAUGGCGAAGGCAGCUUCUUGGUCCAUUCCUGACGUUAAAACACGAAAGCGUGGGGAGCAAACAGGAUUAGAUACCCUGGUAGUCCACGCCGUAAACGAUGAUCACUAGAUGUUGGCCCUGUUUUGCAGGGUUAGUAUCGAAGCUAACGCGUUAAGUGAUCCACCUGGGAACUACGAUCGCAAGAUUA